Molecule: ribosomal RNA, 253 nt
Filed under: uncultured bacterium
Lineage: Bacteria
Description: partial 16S ribosomal RNA
Rfam family: Bacterial small subunit ribosomal RNA
Source: RNAcentral
UACGUAGGGGGCAAGCGUUGUCCGGAAUCACUGGGCGUAAAGCGCGCGCAGGCGGCUGUCUACGUCCGGGGUGAAAGCCCAGAGCUCAACUCUGGGAUUGCCUUGGAUACGGGAUGGCUUGAGGAUCGGAGAGGCAAGGGGAAUUCCACGUGUAGCGGUGAAAUGCGUAGAGAUGUGGAGGAACACCGAUGGCGAAGGCAAUCCCCUGGGCCUGCACUGACGCUCAUGCACGAAAGCGUGGGGAGCAAACAGG